Molecule: ribosomal RNA, 284 nt
Filed under: Megasphaera elsdenii DSM 20460
Lineage: Bacteria; Bacillati; Bacillota; Negativicutes; Veillonellales; Veillonellaceae
Description: partial 16S ribosomal RNA
Rfam family: Bacterial small subunit ribosomal RNA
Source: RNAcentral
UACGUAGGUGGCAAGCGUUGUCCGGAAUUAUUGGGCGUAAAGGGCGCGCAGGCGGCGUCGUAAGUCGGUCUUAAAAGUGCGGGGCUUAACCCCGUGAGGGGACCGAAACUGCGAUGCUAGAGUAUCGGAGAGGAAAGCGGAAUUCCUAGUGUAGCGGUGAAAUGCGUAGAUAUUAGGAGGAACACCAGUGGCGAAAGCGGCUUUCUGGACGACAACUGACGCUGAGGCGCGAAAGCCAGGGGAGCAAACGGGAGGAGAGAAAAUAGUAGUAAGGAUGAAUGAAU